This 884-nucleotide ribosomal RNA is filed under the name Tsukamurella sp. Its description in RNAcentral is "bacterial SSU rRNA". It matches the Rfam family "Bacterial small subunit ribosomal RNA", at positions 61 to 962 of the family's 1533-position model. Lineage: Bacteria; Bacillati; Actinomycetota; Actinomycetes; Mycobacteriales; Tsukamurellaceae. The record is from RNAcentral.
GACCAGCGCCCGACCGGGUGGACCCCUCCUUUAUUGUCGACGGUGAGCACUCUUGAGUGAUCUGUCCUGUAUUUCCGGAUUAUCCUGGCAAACUGGGUCUAAUACCGGAUAUGACCUUCUCCUGCAUGGGGUUUGGUGGAAAGCUUGUGCGGUACAGGUUGGGCCCGCGGCCUAUCAGCUUGUUGGUGGGGUAAUGGCCUACCUAGGCUACGACGGGUAGCCGGCCUGAGAGGGCGACCGGCCACACUGGGACUGAGACACGGCCCACACUCCUACGGGAGGCAGUAGUGGGGAAUAUUGCACAAUGGGCGGAACCCUGAUGCAGCGACGCCGCGUGAGGGAUGACGGCCUUCGGGUUGUAAACCUCUAUCAUUAGGGACGAAGCGCAAGUGACGGUACCUACAUAAGAAGCACCGGCCAACUACGUGCCAGCAGCCGCGGUAAUACGUAGGGUGCGAGCGUUGUCCGGAUUUACUGGGCGUAAAGAGCUCGUAGGCGGUUUGUCACGUCGUCUGUGAAAACCCGAGGCUUAACCUCGGGCCUGCAGGCGAUACGGGCAGACUUGAGUACUGUAGGGGAGACUGGAAUUCCUGGUGUAGCGGUGGCAUGCGCAGAUAUCAGGAGGAACACCGGUGGCGAAGGCGGGUCUCUGGGCAGUAACUGACGCUGAGGAGCGAAAGCGUGGGUGCGAACAGGAUUAGAUACCCUGGUAGUCCACGCCGUAAACGGUGGGUACUAGGUGUGGGUUUCCUUCCACGGGAUCCGUGCCGUAGCUAACGCAUUAAGUACCCCGCCUGGGGAGUACGGCCGCAAGGCUAAAACUCAAAGGAAUUGACGGGGGCUCGCACAAGCGGCGGAGCAUGUGGAUUAAUUCGAUGCAACGC